AGAGUUGAUCCUGGCUUAGAACGAACGCUGGCGGCAGGCCUAACACAUGCAAGUCGAGCGCGCCCUUCGGGGUGAGCGGCGGACGGGUUAGUAACGCGUGGGAACGUACCCUUUGGUAGGGAAUAGCCACUGGAAACGGUGAGUAAUACCCUAUGAGCCCUUCGGGGGAAAGAUUUAUCGCCAAAGGAUCGGCCCGCGUUAGAUUAGGUAGUUGGUGGGGUAAUGGCCUACCAAGCCUACGAUCUAUAGCUGGUUUUAGAGGAUGAUCAGCAACACUGGGACUGAGACACGGCCCAGACUCCUACGGGAGGCAGCAGUGGGGAAUCUUGGACAAUGGGGGCAACCCUGAUCCCAGCCAUGCCGCGUGAGUGAAGAAGGCCUUAGGGUCGUAAAGCUCUUUCGCCUGUGAAGAUAAUGACGGUAGCAGGUAAAGAAACCCCGGCUAACUCCGUGCCAGCAGCCGC
RNAcentral lists this ribosomal RNA (464 nucleotides) under uncultured bacterium. RNAcentral's name for it is "bacterial SSU rRNA". It matches the Rfam family "Bacterial small subunit ribosomal RNA", at positions 8 to 518 of the family's 1533-position model. The record is from RNAcentral.